This 475-nucleotide ribosomal RNA is filed under the name uncultured bacterium. RNAcentral describes it as "bacterial SSU rRNA". It matches the Rfam family "Bacterial small subunit ribosomal RNA", at positions 28 to 500 of the family's 1533-position model. The record is from RNAcentral.
GACGAACGCUGGCGGCGUGCCUAACACAUGCAAGUCGAACGGAACUGUUUUGAAAGAUUUCUUCGGAAUGAAUUUGAUUUAGUUUAGUGGCGGACGGGUGAGUAACGCGUGAGUAACCUGCCUUCAAGAGGGGGAUAACAUUCUGAAAAGAAUGCUAAUACCGCAUGACAUAUCGGAAUCACAUGGUUCUGAUAUCAAAGAUUUUAUCGCUUGAAGAUGGACUCGCGUCCGAUUAGUUAGUUGGUGAGGUAACGGCUCACCAAGACCGCGAUCGGUAGCCGGACUGAGAGGUUGAACGGCCACAUUGGGACUGAGACACGGCCCAGACUCCUACGGGAGGCAGCAGUGGGGGAUAUUGCGCAAUGGGGGCAACCCUGACGCAGCAACGCCGCGUGAAGGAUGAAGGUUUUCGGAUUGUAAACUUCUUUUAUUAAGGACGAAAAAUGACGGUACUUAAUGAAUAAGCUCCGGCUAA